UCAGCAACCUCAAAUGUUCCAAAAACAGCGGUACUGGAUAUUUAUGAAAAUAACCAGUACAAAGGAGAGAUCGUACCUUUGAAUAAGAUGCAAUUGAGUUGUGCACAUCUUUGAUGGCAAGUAGAACAUUAUUACGGAUGCACAAUCGGCGUUGGCUUUCUAUACCUUCUUCCCGUAGAGUAUCGCCAUGGCAAUUUAAGGCAUAGAACAACUUGGUCCUGGCAGCUUCUUUGUUACACAAGUACCAAAAGG
RNAcentral lists this long non-coding RNA (252 nucleotides) under Erythranthe guttata (spotted monkey flower). RNAcentral describes it as "long non-coding RNA (EGUT_LNC002770)". The record is from RNAcentral. Lineage: Eukaryota; Viridiplantae; Streptophyta; Magnoliopsida; Lamiales; Phrymaceae.